Molecule: ribosomal RNA, 509 nt
Filed under: Moesziomyces aphidis
Lineage: Eukaryota; Fungi; Basidiomycota; Ustilaginomycetes; Ustilaginales; Ustilaginaceae
Description: partial large subunit ribosomal RNA
Rfam family: Eukaryotic large subunit ribosomal RNA
Source: RNAcentral
UCCGCAUUGUAAUCUCAAGAAGUGUUUUCCGCUUCGGACCAAGCCUAAGUCCCUUGGAAAAGGGCAUCAUAGAGGGUGAUAAUCCCGUACAUGGCUUGGAGCGCCCGAAGCUUUGUGAUACGCUUUCUAAGAGUCGAGUUGUUUGGGAAUGCAGCUCAAAAUGGGUGGUAAAUGCCAUCUAAGGCUAAAUAUUGGGGAGAGACCGAUAGCGAACAAGUACAGUGAUGGAAAGAUGAAAAGAACUUUGAAAAGAGAGUUAAACAGUACGUGAAAUUGCCAAAAGGGAAGGGUAGGAGGUCAGAGAUGCGGCCUGGGAUUCAGCCUUGCUUUUGCUUGGUGUUUUUCCCAGAUUGCAGGCCAACGUCGGUUUUGGGCACUGGAGAAGGGUAGGAGGAACGUGGCACCUCUCGGGGUGUGUUAUAGCCUCCUACUGGAUACAGCGACCGAGACCGAGGACAGCAGCGUACUCGCAAGAGCGGGCCUUCGGGCACCUUUACGCUUAGGGCGUU